GAUGAACGCUGGCGGCGUGCCUAAUACAUGCAAGUCGAGCGAACAGACGAGGAGCUUGCUCCUCUGACGUUAGCGGCGGACGGGUGAGUAACACGUGGUUAACCUACCUAUAAGACUGGGAUAACUUCGGGAAACCGGAGCUAAUACCGGAUAAUAUAUUGAACCGCAUGGUUCAAUAGUGAAAGACGGUUUUGCUGUCACUUAUAGAUGGAUCCGCGCCGCAUUAGCUAGUUGGUAAGGUAACGGCUUACCAAGGCGACGAUGCGUAGCCGACCUGAGAGGGUGAUCGGCCACACUGGAACUGAGACACGGUCCAGACUCCUACGGGAGGCAGCAGUAGGGAAUCUUCCGCAAUGGGCGAAAGCCUGACGGAGCAACGCCGCGUGAGUGAUGAAGGUCUUCGGAUCGUAAAACUCUGUUAUUAGGGAAGAACAAAUGUGUAAGUAACUAUGCACGUCUUGACGGUACCUAAUCAGAAAGCCACGGCUAACUACGUG
RNAcentral lists this ribosomal RNA (497 nucleotides) under uncultured bacterium. RNAcentral describes it as "partial 16S ribosomal RNA". It matches the Rfam family "Bacterial small subunit ribosomal RNA", at positions 28 to 507 of the family's 1533-position model. The record is from RNAcentral.